This 484-nucleotide ribosomal RNA is filed under the name uncultured Caldimonas sp. RNAcentral's name for it is "bacterial SSU rRNA". It matches the Rfam family "Bacterial small subunit ribosomal RNA", at positions 8 to 492 of the family's 1533-position model. The record is from RNAcentral. Lineage: Bacteria; Pseudomonadati; Pseudomonadota; Betaproteobacteria; Burkholderiales; Sphaerotilaceae.
AGAGUUUGAUCCUGGCUCAGAUUGAACGCUGGCGGCAUGCCUUACACAUGCAAGUCGAGCGGCAGCGCGGGGGCAACCCUGGCGGCGAGCGGCGGACGGGUGAGUAAUACAUCGGAACGUGUCCUGUCGUGGGGGAUAACCAGUCGAAAGACUGGCUAAUACCGCAUGAGAUCUCACGAUGAAAGCGGGGGACCGCAAGGCCUCGCGCGACUGGAGCGGCCGAUGUCGGAUUAGCUAGUUGGCGGGGUAAAAGCCCACCAAGGCUACGAUCCGUAGCUGGUUUGAGAGAACGACCAGCCACACUGGGACUGAGACACGGCCCAGACUCCUACGGGAGGCAGCAGUGGGGAAUUUUGGACAAUGGGGGCAACCCUGAUCCAGCCACGCCGCGUGUGUGAAGAAGGCCUUCGGGUUGUAAAGCACUUUCGGCCGGAACGAAAUCGCGCGGGUGAACAUCCCGCGUGGAUGACGUACCGAAGAAGAG